RNAcentral lists this long non-coding RNA (2178 nucleotides) under Mus caroli (Ryukyu mouse). RNAcentral's name for it is "predicted gene, 32914 (MGP_CAROLIEiJ_G0006459.1)". The record is from RNAcentral. Lineage: Eukaryota; Metazoa; Chordata; Mammalia; Rodentia; Muridae.
AAGAAACUUGUCGAAGCCAUCAGCUUUGCCUGUCUCAAAUGACUGCCCUGAGACCUACACGCAAGAGGUCCUUCCUGUAGGAGCCCAGUGCACAAAGAGACCAGGAAGCCUCUUUCUGUCACCAUCGCUGCCCAGCUAAAAGUGUUUCUGUCAAGUUCACAUCCUCACACCAAGCCCCCAUGGGUGGCAAUAUUCCAUUCCAUUCUGUCAGCACCACAGGUUUCUCUUCUACAAAUGUUGACUGCCCGUGGCACAGGCUCCAACCCAGAAAGUCCUCCAUGGAAGCUCAGCAGAAACGCCCAGUGCAGGAACACUAGCCGUCCCUGACCCUCAGCAGCAGAGGCAAGACAGUGUCUCUGACAGGGCUCUCAAGACCAGAGUCCUAGACUUCACUGCUUCACGACGUUGAUAUCACAAACAGAUUGUAAGCCUGCCAAGAACAUGGUUCUCUCAGCCUUAAGAUGGAGACAGCAGUAAACCAAAGGUGUCAUUGUAAGAUGAAGCCCAAGCAAAUGGAUAAGGUCCUAUAGCACUGUGCCCCGUGCAUAGUGAGUAUUCCUAAGUGUGAACAUUAUGUGGGAUGAUGAUUAUGAUGGUGGUGGUGGUGGUGAUGGUGAUGAUGGUGGUGAUGGUGGUGGUGGUAGUGGUCAUGGUGAUGGUUGUGGUGGUAAAUUCAGGCAUGCAGCUACCCCAACUCCUCCUACAUCACACAUCACAUCCUGCUAAAGCAGUGAUUCUCAGCCUUCCUAAGGUUUCAACCCAUUAUGCCAGCUCUUCCUGUUGUGGUGACCACCAACUAUAAAAUUAUUCUGUUGCUACUUCAUAACAGUAAUUUCACUACUGUUAUGAUCUGGAAUCUCUGACAUGCAGGAUAUCUGAUAUCUAACCCCCAAAGGGGUCAUGACCCACAGGUUGAGAACCGCUGAUCUAGUGCUAAAGGGCUAAAGAACCAGUCUGAGGAGUGUGCCCUGUACUUUUGUGGUCAGCUGAACAGAAAUCAGUUGCCACAGCAGAAGCUAAAUGAGCUCCCAGUAAAGAAUCUAAGAACAGCCCCAUCUCCUCUCCUUCCUUCCCACCCAACACCAUCGGUGAACUUAACUACUUAUUCUUAUAUUACAUCAUCAGGACUGGUAGAUAUCUGUGAUCUAGGGAUUGAAACUUGGCCACACAUGGGAUAAGGAACUCCAGAAUUCAUUCAGCACGUGGAAUUGGUACUCUGUGAUGAAGAGAAAUUUUUGCUAGCUCUAAAAAGCUGUUUCUGAUGAGUCAUAAACCUGCUUGUAUAUUCUAACACAUUUGCUAGUGGCAAAAACUAAGCUGACAGAAAAGAUGGUGGUGGGGACAGUUUAAAAGUGCCCCCAAUCCUAAAUACUUCACAAGUUUCACCUUGGUCUUCAAAACCACCCUGUGUGGGAGGGGAUCUUGGUAUCCCAUGUCACAGACAAGGACCCACACAAAAGUGCUAACUGCACCCCAGGAGCAGAGUCAGUGUAACCCUCUCCAGGCACCUGGGCCUUCCUUGACCUCUGGUUAUGCUGCUCCCAGGAGGGAGGGCUCAGCUUUCAGAAAGUGUGUACACUGAAUAAAACAUUUCUCACUACUUAGUUUCUUUACUCAUUGCUGGAACGGAGCGCUUGACAAAGGCACCUUAAAGGGGGAAGGAAUUGCUUUGGAUCACGGUUUGAAGAUAGCGUCCAUGGCUGUAGGAGCCGGAGGCAGCGGCUCUCGGGUCGUCUGCAGUCAGGAAUCACUGAGAGAUGGAAGCUGGUGCUCGGCUUGCUUUCUCCUUGUUAUUCAGUCUGGGCCCCAGCCCACGGGAUGGUUCUGUUCCGUUGGGGUUUAUCUUUCCUGUCAAUGAACCCUGUCUGGAAAUUUCCUCAUAGCAUGGCCAGAAGUUUGUCUCCUAUGUGAUUUUACAGCUUCCCCCUUUGAUAAUAUUAACUACCAUAUGGUUCAUCAGGCAAGUCACCCUGAACACACCCACCUGCCGCAACAUCAAACACAUCUCACCAGCUUCAUAAGAGGCCCCACGUGCCCUUCCAGAUUUUCAGGGGCUUACAGAAGAGAGACUGGGAAGAUGCUGGCUUCAUGACAACACAUGGAAAAGCGUGAUGGUGUGGGGAGAGGGCUGUCACAAGAAAGCAUUUGCUGAUAUAAAUUUAUAAAUUUUCAAAAUGA